UAGGGGGGGGGGGGCAAUUGUUCCAACUUCCUGUCAGCGACAGGAAACGGAGAUGAUGUUGCAAAGGCAGUAGUAUUCACUCUUCCCUUUAAGUUUGGUUAGCCGUUUAAUGUUGGGCCAAUUUUGUACAGAAUGUACUUCAAGUCAUUUCCUCCUGAUCUGUUCGCAGUUUGUUUGUUGGCUUGCAGCAGACAGACCAAGAAGACAUAAUCCUGUUACACUGCUCCCAGAGCUGGAACAGUGAACACCCAAUGAGGGAUGGCAACUCUUGGAAAGGAAUUAAAACACAAAAAGCCUCACUAUCUGUUUUUUUUUUUUUUUUUUUUUUACUGGAAAUUGCCUCAAUGAUGCAAUCCACUUACCGAUCAGGCAGACUGAUCAACAGGCAGUCUUCAUUACCGCAUUCAUUCAUAUUCUCUUUUCACCCAAUAAACAACGAGCUUUUGAGAAAGGAGGUCUAAUUAAAAUUGAAUUUGAUACUGGUGAACACAAACAUGGUUAUUUUAUUCAAAUAUCUGCCUCAGAACUAAACAACACCACUCUUUCUUCAAAACUGGUUUAAUGAAACAGCAAAGGACUGUAUGUCACCGUGUAUUGGAAAAACUACCAAGGAAAACUAUCAACUUUCAACAAUAAUCCUCUUUCUGUUGCACUUGGCUUUGGAAAGUACUGCAACCCUCAGGGCAAGGUUAUUUCCCCUAUAAACCUCAUCUGCAUGCCAUGGUUGUGCAGUAUACUCCUUCUUUGAUCCCAGCAUGUGGACUGGAGUCUCUGUACACAGGUCUGUAUCUUGAAAACAAAUAUCUUCAAAAAUAAACGCACAAUGCUAACCUCAAACACUGGAAAUUGCAAACCAGCAGGAUGUAGUUUUGUAGUUUAAAAACCUAAUCCUGUCGCAUCCACAACCCUGGACAGGUGACCUCUGGCCUGGCUUUGUUAUAAAUAUGAUUUCCGAAACGCAAGGCUCUGGAGUAGGCGAUUUGGGAUGUCUGUGUGCAUUUGAUAUGGGAUACGCUUUAAAAUAAAACCUGGAAACCUGAUAGGCCUUACAUUGCGGGUAGAAUUACUAUCCAGUCAAAUCACUCAGGGUGGGAGGGCCGUGGACACUGCAGAAGAUUCAAUUAACCUUUUCCUUUUCUAAUGCUUUUAGUGACUAACCCACUCACCAGUCUUCUAUACAUUUAACCUGUUUUCACAAAGCAACCCAUGAAGACCACUCUCAAUAGCCCCUUGGCAUUUUCGCACGGCUCCAAACAGCUGAUUCUCCAAACAGCUGCUUCUCCAAAAAGGGGUAAACAUCACAAUAAGUAGAGAAGGGACCAAGAAGAAAAGCAGCUCAAAGGACAAGAGAGGCUCAUAUCAUAUCAGUGCUAGCUGCACAAUGGCAACUGGUGAGGGACCGUCACCUCCCACCACAACUUACACCUACUCAGGACUAUCACAAACACACAGUAUUCGCAAAAUAAAACAGCAUUUUAACAAAAAGGACAAAGCAUCAAAGAUUAGUAGUCAUUCGCCAAUGGUGUCUUGUUAAGGUGAAGCUGCACAAAGGCAAAUUAGCUGAUGAAUGCUUAAGGGAACAAGUUUAAUUGUGUGGGAAGAUCUUUCACAUAUGUGAAAAAAACUACCACAAUGCAUAGAAACACACCCACACCCACAAACAAGCAAUACAGAAGACACAAAAAUGUUGCAGUAGAAACCAAGCCAAAGAGCUCCCAAGGGAACAGGACUGCUGGCUUAAUCACAGGAAUUAUUUCAAAGUGAAACAGUUUUCACAUUGACUGAAGUUGAAUUAACCUGUUUAUCCAAUAUGUACCAAGUUUAUUUUGUAGAUUCUUUUGCCAGCUUCCCCUUUAUUUUGUGGAAGAAUGAACAUGCAUAAGCAAAUAAUUAUGUGUAAGGUGAUAUCACUACUUUCUGGUGCACAGCAGAAUAAGCUAAUACAAUACACACACACACACACACACAAAUCUAGCAUUCUUUAAGAAGUUUCUAGCCUUGUAUUGGAAUACACUCCCACAGCAAGUUAUCGGUGUUCUCCUCAGCAUGUUUCUAACACAUAAUCAAUACGAACUGUACUGAAAAUCCCUCUUUGGCGAUUUACCAACCUCAUCAGCUUAUGAUCAGAAACAGUAGAGCACCAUUCCUCAGCACUUUAAUAUAGUGCUGGAGAUUAAUCAGAGUCUGGAACAGGUACGUAAAAGUGUCCCUGUGAAAACUUGCAGUAUUUGUAACUAAAAUACCACCCUCUGUGAAAACGAUUCACUAAGGAGAUGUAUUCAUUGGCAAUCCACCAAAUGCAAGCACUGGUUUAUUU
Molecule: long non-coding RNA, 2317 nt
Organism: Polyodon spathula (Mississippi paddlefish)
Lineage: Eukaryota; Metazoa; Chordata; Actinopteri; Acipenseriformes; Polyodontidae
Exons: 3
Source: RefSeq, a predicted model, not a curated record